UGAGCAAUCUGCCCUUCUCUUCGGAAUAAGCGUUGGAAACGACGUCUAAUGCCGAAUACGACCUCCUUUCGCAUGAUCGGAGGUGGAAAGCUCCGGCGGAGAAGGAUGAGCUCGCGGCCUAUCAGCUAGUUGGUGUGGGUAAUGGCCCACAAGGCGACGACGGGUAGCCGGCCUGAGAGGGUGACCGGCCACACUGGGACUGAGACACGGCCCAGACCUCCGUACGGGGAGGCAGCG
Molecule: ribosomal RNA, 237 nt
Filed under: uncultured bacterium
Lineage: Bacteria
Description: partial 16S ribosomal RNA
Rfam family: Bacterial small subunit ribosomal RNA
Source: RNAcentral